RNAcentral lists this ribosomal RNA (387 nucleotides) under uncultured bacterium. Its description in RNAcentral is "bacterial SSU rRNA". It matches the Rfam family "Archaeal small subunit ribosomal RNA", at positions 339 to 726 of the family's 1478-position model. The record is from RNAcentral.
GCGCGAAAACUUUACAAUGCUGGCAACAGCGAUAAGGGAACCUCGAGUGCCAGGUUACAAAUCUGGCUGUCGAGAUGCCUAAAAAGCAUUUCAUAGCAAGGGCCGGGCAAGACCGGUGCCAGCCGCCGCGGUAACACCGGCGGCUCGAGUGGUAACCGUUAUUAUUGGGUCUAAAGGGUCUGUAGCCGGCCGGAUAAGUCUCUUGAGAAAUCUGGCAGCUUAACUGUCAGGCUUUCAGGAGAUACUGUCUGGCUCGAGGCCGGGAGAGGUGAGAGGUACUUCAGGGGUAGGGGUGAAAUCUUGUAAUCCUUGAAGGACCACCAGUGGCGGAGGCGUCUCACCAGAACGGACCUGACGGCAAGGGACGAAAGCUAGGGGCACGAACCG